GGAUGCUCCGGUUGGAUGCAUGUCCUUCCGGGAAAGGUUCCAUCGGUAUGGGAUGGGGUCGCGUCCUAUCAGCUUGAUGGCGGGGUAACGGCCCACCAUGGCUUCGACGGGUAGCCGGCCUGAGAGGGCGACCGGCCACAUUGGGACUGAGAUACGGCCCAGACUCCUACGGGAGGCAGCAGUGGGGAAUAUUGCACAAUGGGCGCAAGCCUGAUGCAGCGACGCCGCGUGCGGGAUGGAGGCCUUCGGGUUGUAAACCGCUUUUGAUCGGGAGCAAGCCCUUCGGGGUGAGUGUACCUUUCGAAUAAGCACCGGCUAACUACGUGCCAGCAGCCGCGGUAAUACGUAGGGUGCAAGCGUUAUCCGGAAUUAUUGGGCGUAAAGGGCUCGUAGGCGGUUCGUCGCGUCCGGUGUGAAAGCCCAUCGCUUAACGGUGGGUCUGCGCCGGGUACGGGCGGGCUGGAGUGCGGUAGGGGAGACUGGAAUUCCCGGUGUAACGGUGGAAUGUGUAGAUAUCGGGAAGAACACCA
Molecule: ribosomal RNA, 530 nt
Filed under: Bifidobacterium dentium
Lineage: Bacteria; Bacillati; Actinomycetota; Actinomycetes; Bifidobacteriales; Bifidobacteriaceae
Description: bacterial SSU rRNA
Rfam family: Bacterial small subunit ribosomal RNA
Source: RNAcentral